AACCACAUUUCGAAUGGAGAUUACUUGCUACUACUUGCUAGCAAGUUUUUAAAGGUUGUCGAAAAAAUUUUUGAGACCACUGCGAAAGAAAAGUAUUUUUGAUACAACUCAGACUCCAACAAUGGUUAGCUAAUUGCCCGGUUGAGCAUUAUCAUUACAUUAUUUACAUUGUUCUCAGAUCGUCUCUACUAUUGCCGCUCUCUCAAACGUUCACUUCUUCCUUUCUUUCACGAGAAUCUCGUGCACCACCGACGUAAAUACAGGUGACCUUAUGAUAGUUGGCUAAUAAAUGCAGUUUUGAAAUUGUACAUCUUGUUUUUAGCAGUAAACAAAACGAUAAAAGCACGUGGUUUAAUGCAAAUCAUUUUUGAUCCUGACCGGUAACCACAAGUCGAGUAUGCCUGUCGUUCAUCCCACUUCUGUCGUCACCUUUAGCUCGGAGGACCCUAACCAUCCAGCCAGCAAUCUUCUUAAUCGAGAGUCAUUCCGAAAAUGGAAAUGCAGCGAAACAUCAAAAAGCCGCAGUGAAUUUGUCAUCCUUAAAUUCGACCAAGCGGUUCAAAUCAUGGGGAUAGAUAUUGGAAAUGAGGCUUCUGCAUUUAUCGAGGUGCAAGUUGCUCGGUCCGGGACCAGUGACCCAAAGUUUGAGGUCCUCCUCAAUUCCGCCAUCCUAAUGACUGCCUCAGAUUCACGAAAUUUGAAGAAUCCUUGCGGUGUACGCAACUUCACCAUCGCCUCUCUGGAUAAGGAGACGUCAGCCCAAAAGUGGGACUUGGUGAAACUGAUUGUGACGCAGCAAUUUAACACGCAGACCCAAUUUGGACUAAACUUUGUCAAGUUUAGAGCCCCAGGUGAUCCCACUGCGCCUGCCAAAAUUGGCGUGUUCGCUAUCAGAAAAACAGGGAUUGGAAACGAUGAGGAUGAUGAAGACGAUGAACAAUUUCGAAUUGGGACCCUGUUUGCCAAGAAGAUGCAAAAGCAAAAGAAUGGUUCAGAUGAACACAUCGGUUCACCAACUUCUUCAACUUCGACGAAUGCAGCCAUCCGUGAAGUUACAAAAGCAAUCUCAGGUGCGUCCCAAUCUUCGAGUGAACAUGCGGUGAAGGAAGUGCUCAAGAGGCCAAAAUUGGAUGUUUCCUCUUCUUCUUCACCAGGACUCGAUUCUAAAAAGACCAAGAAUAUGUCAUCCGAACGAGCCGAUUCCUUGGGGAACAAGGGCCCACGAACAACUAAUUCCACCACUACGAGUACAACUAGCAGCAGUACAAGUGAUAAGCUCCCAAGUAGGAACAAUUUGGCAGACCCACCACUAAGGAAGCAACAAAAGCUGACGGAUGAAAAAGAUAAAAGCAAUCAAAACAACGUCAGUAGUGCAAGCAGUAGCAGCAGCAACAGCCAAGGUCCAGUCCAAGCAUCUCCCUCGAGCACAAGAAAAAGUGGAGGCGGACCAAACACUGGUUCUGCAACUUCGUCUUCCAUUGCAUUCGGUGGGGUAAGACGACGAGACAGCGAGGACGCUGAUAAGCCACACAAACCUUUCGACAUACUGUUUGAGGGAGUCGUCUUUGUGAUGAGCGGAUUUCAAAAUCCGUACCGGAAACAUCUAAGAGAUCGAGCCAUUGAGAUGGGAGCGAAAUGCAAACCGGAUUGGGACUCGAGCUGCACUCAUCUCAUAUGCGCCUUUAUCAACACGCCCAAGUUCCAAGAGGUUCGCACGGCCGGAAAUAACGGCAAGAUUGUGAGGAAAGAGUGGAUCGAGCGGUCAUACGGGGCCAGGGUCCGAUUUCCGUGGAGAAGAUUUUGUCUGGACCGAAAUGACAAGGGCGCGGAGAGUGAGGAGGAGAUUCUGGCAGAAGAAGACCACGACGACGGUGAGGAAGAUGAGGUCGAAGAAGAACAAGAUCCUGGAAAUCCUCCUUCUCCUCGGGCAAAUGGCGAGAAAGUUACGGAAAGGGGAGACCCAACGCGUGCUGGUGAAGGUCAAGAUGCCACCACGACCGCCACGUCCCAAGAUCCCACGAGCCGAAUGGAAGUGGAUGACGACGAGGACAAACCUAUUGCUGGUGGAGGAGGAGAGCGGAAGAGAAAGCGACCCCUCCCACUCAACGACGACGACGAUGAUGACAACGAUAAGUUGGCUGAAGCUUAUAACGCAGACACGGACGUAGAUGAGGACGAUCCUAAAACCAAUGGAAAAGAGGGCGCUGCCAAUAAUAAGGAAGACUCAUCGGGAGCAGAAACGGAUUUUGAGGAGGAACCACCAACCGCUGAUGAAGCGGACUCGUUCUUUCGACAAGUCACAUUUUUCCUCCAUGACCCUCAAGAAGAAGAAGGGGGCACGCGUUCUCUUUUCAAUGAGAAGGAUCGGAUUGAGCAAAUAAUUUUACGAAGGAACGGGGUGGUGGCGACCGAGCUGACGGACGACGUGGACUACCUCAUCACACACCGCCUCGCCUGGGACGAAGCCUUCUCAGAGGCCCUGUCGGACAACCCCAACCUCUCCAUAGUGAACUCGGCAUGGAUCUUGAGGUGCGAAGAAGAGAAGAAACUCUUGGCCUGUGAUGAAUUUAUCAUCACUCCGUCCUAACUUGACCAAAGGGAGGAGUGGAGAGAGGGAGAGAGGAGAAAUCAACAAACGCUUAUCUAACAUCUUUACCCAAAAGUUACAAUUGAAGAGUUGAAAUGUUGUUGUCCAAAAGUUUACCCAUUUAUAUAUGUACUUUUUUUCGUGGUGGCAGGUUUUAUAUAGCAAAAGUUACGAGGCAAAUGGAUCACUUGAGUAUGCCCAUUGUUAUAUUUUUAUGUGUUAUGUUUCCUUUAUAUUUAAUUUAAGAGAAAUUACCAACUUGUAAACUUGGCCCGUUGACAUAGUCAUAGCUCUAAAUCCUUUGUACUUGCAAGAAAGAAAUGUCGUCCACUCUGGUACAAAUACGAUAUAAAAUAAACCUUAAAAAGGAUUACUUAGGUUUAUUUUAUUUUAAGCUUUUAAUUGAUAAUAAUACGAUAAUUAAUUAGAAAUGAAAUAAAUUAACCACACUGAAAAAAAUCUAGUACUUAUGGAAGGAUGUAAAUACUCCAUACUUGUAUAUAUUGGAUAGUAAUUUCGUACCUGGCUGGUAGAAAUUUGGUUAAAAUUAAAAUUGCAUUGCCACAACGGUAAUGAGCGUUAUUACCAUGCGUGUAGAGUCAUA
Folsomia candida is the source of this 3191-nucleotide RNA transcript. It is a transcript of the gene named DNA repair protein XRCC1, with no coding region annotated. NCBI's taxonomy places the organism in Eukaryota, Metazoa, Arthropoda, Collembola, Entomobryomorpha, Isotomidae. The record is from RefSeq and is a predicted model, not a curated record. The transcript has 12 exons.